Molecule: ribosomal RNA, 292 nt
Filed under: uncultured bacterium
Lineage: Bacteria
Also listed under: 2 other names
Description: partial 16S ribosomal RNA
Source: RNAcentral
GGACUACACGGGUAUCUAAUCCCGUUUGCUCCCCUAGCUUUCGCGCAUCAGCGUCAGAAGAGGUCCAGCGGGUCGCUUUCGCCACCGGCGUUCCUUCCGAUAUCAACGCAUUUCACCGCUCCACCGGAAGUUCCACCCGCCCCUACCUCACUCCAGACAAGCAGUAUCCAAGGCCCUUUUCCGGUUAAGCCGAAAGCUUUCACCCCGGACUUGCCUGCCCGCCUACGCGCCCUUUAAGCCCAGUGAAUCCGAACAACGUUCGCACGGUUCGUCUUACCGCGGCUGCUGGCAC